Harpegnathos saltator (Jerdon's jumping ant) is the source of this 622-nucleotide long non-coding RNA. RefSeq lists it as uncharacterized. The transcript has 5 exons. NCBI's taxonomy places the organism in Eukaryota, Metazoa, Arthropoda, Insecta, Hymenoptera, Formicidae. The record is from RefSeq and is a predicted model, not a curated record.
AUCGUGGCUCGUGUCCCAGGUAAUAUAGGAUCGCUACAAGACACCUUUUCCCCUCGAUAAGUGCAGGAAACGUUGACGGUGGUACUCUUCAGCUCUGGGCAGAUCUCUGCAGAAAUUAACGUCGCACAAAAGAGACUCACUGAGACAUGAGACCUGGUGGAACCACUCGCUGUUGAGACAAACGGAAGUAUCUUUAUCGCUCAACUUGUAAUCGUCUUUACAAGUAUAAGUGAUAACACUGUGCUCCGGGACGGUAUCACCAGAACGUUUAUGGCAUAGCUCCUCGCAUCCUGUCAACUUGUAACGUCCGCCUAUUGGCUGUUCAGGUCAACGUGGCUUGUGUCCCAGGUAGUAUAGGCUCGCUACAAGACACCUCUUCUCCUCUGUAGUUGCAGGAAAUGUCUACGCUGGUGCUGUUCAACGGCGGGCAAAUUUCUGCGAAGAUAAACAUCGGACGAGGUAUAAGUGAGAAUACUGUAUUGCGGAACUAUAUCGCCAGGCUGUUUGCGGCAUAGAUCGUCGCAUCCUUCCAACUUAUAACGUCCACCUGUCGGCUGCUCAGGUCAACGUGGCUUGUGUCCCAGGUAGUAUAGGCUCGCUACAAGACACCUCUUCUCCUCUG